RNAcentral lists this ribosomal RNA (492 nucleotides) under uncultured bacterium. RNAcentral describes it as "partial 16S ribosomal RNA". It matches the Rfam family "Bacterial small subunit ribosomal RNA", at positions 29 to 507 of the family's 1533-position model. The record is from RNAcentral.
AGUGAACGCUGGCGGUAGGCCUAACACAUGCAAGUCGAUCGGCAGCACAGUGAGAGCUUGCUCUUACGGGUGGCGAGUGGCGGACGGGUGAGGAAUACAUCGGAAUCUACUUUUUCGUGGGGGAUAACGUAGGGAAACUUACGCUAAUACCGCAUACGACCUACGGGUGAAAGCAGGGGAUCUUCGGACCUUGCGCGAUUGAAUGAGCCGAUGUCGGAUUAGCUAGUUGGCGGGGUAAAGGCCCACCAAGGCGACGAUCCGUAGCUGGUCUGAGAGGAUGAUCAGCCACACUGGAACUGAGACACGGUCCAGACUCCUACGGGAGGCAGCAGUGGGGAAUAUUGGACAAUGGGCGCAAGCCUGAUCCAGCCAUACCGCGUGGGUGAAGAAGGCCUUCGGGUUGUAAAGCCCUUUUGUUGGGAAAGAAAAGCAGCAGGUUAAUACCCCGCUGUUCUGACGGUACCCAAAGAAUAAGCACCGGCUAACUUCGUG